GAUGAACGCUGGCGGCGUGCCUAAUACAUGCAAGUCGAGCGAACGGACGAGAAGCUUGCUUCUCUGAUGUUAGCGGCGGACGGGUGAGUAACACGUGGAUAACCUACCUAUAAGACUGGGAUAACUUCGGGAAACCGGAGCUAAUACCGGAUCAUAUUUUGAACCGCAUGGUUCAAAAGUGAAAGACGGUCUUGCUGUCACUUAUAGAUGGAUCCGCGCUGCAUUAGCUAGUUGGUAAGGUAACGGCUUACCAAGGCAACGAUGCAUAGCCGACCUGAGAGGGUGAUCGGCCACACUGGAACUGAGACACGGUCCAGACUCCUACGGGAGGCAGCAGUAGGGAAUCUUCCGCAAUGGGCGAAAGCCUGACGGAGCAACGCCGCGUGAGUGAAGAAGGUCUUCGGAUCGUAAAACUCUGUUAUUAGGGAAGAACAUAUGUGUAAGUAACUGUGCACAUCUUGACGGUACCUAAUCAGAAAGCCACGGCUAACUACGUG
Molecule: ribosomal RNA, 497 nt
Filed under: uncultured bacterium
Lineage: Bacteria
Description: partial 16S ribosomal RNA
Rfam family: Bacterial small subunit ribosomal RNA
Source: RNAcentral